GGGCUGCCCCAUGGCAGUGGGUUAUCAGAACUUACUAAUGUUAGUGUCACUAAAGUUGGUAUAUGACCCCCGCCACAUGCUACUAAAUUUUGACUGCCUUUAA
Molecule: non-coding RNA, 103 nt
Filed under: Microcebus murinus (gray mouse lemur)
Lineage: Eukaryota; Metazoa; Chordata; Mammalia; Primates; Cheirogaleidae
Source: RNAcentral